GUGGUAAGAAAAUUGGGUUUGUAGUCGACCAGUCACUCAGAUGCAAAGUAAUCCACCAAACUCUCUCCGUCUUUCUACAUCCACUUGACGUCUCUUCCUCUCUCUUCACUUGCUUACACUUCUUCUCUGCUUCCGCUCUUCCUCUCUGUCACCGUCCACAUCUUCCUUUAUCUCUUUGUGACUCUGCCUCUCUCUUCAGUUUUGUGGAUGAAAGGACCUGGUUUGUUGGUGUCACAUCUCGUACUGUGAACUCCCUUCUGUCUUUCCGAAGAGAAAAGAGUUGAGGACUGCGUUGGGAACACGGCCGGUGGAUGUUCUACUGUAAGUCCUGGGAGAGCUCAGUGGGAGGCUGCUCCCUGCUGACCUGUGACCCCUCCCAGACACAACAUGACCUCCAGCUGCAGCUUCCUGGGUCCAGCUGGGGUCAGACAGCGACACAGGGGGCUGAAUCAGCUAUCAUUAGCUCCCACGACAUCAAGUCCC
Long non-coding RNA from Gasterosteus aculeatus aculeatus (three-spined stickleback), 483 nucleotides. The record is from Ensembl. NCBI's taxonomy places the organism in Eukaryota, Metazoa, Chordata, Actinopteri, Perciformes, Gasterosteidae.